Molecule: ribosomal RNA, 497 nt
Filed under: uncultured bacterium
Lineage: Bacteria
Description: partial 16S ribosomal RNA
Rfam family: Bacterial small subunit ribosomal RNA
Source: RNAcentral
GAUGAACGCUGGCGGCGUGCCUAAUACAUGCCAGUCGAGCGAACAGACGAGGAGCUUGCUCCUCUGAUGUUAGCGGCGGACGGGUGAGUAACACGUGGAUAACCUACCUAUAAGACUGGGAUAACUUCGGGAAACCGGAGCUAAUACCGGAUAACAUGUUGAACCGCAUGGUUCAACAGUGAAAGACGGUUUUGCUGUCACUUAUAGAUGGAUCCGCGCCGCAUUAGCUAGUUGGUAGGGUAACGGCUUACCAAGGCAACGAUGCGUAGCCGACCUGAGAGGGUGAUAGGCCACACUGGAACGGGGACACGGACAAGGCUCCUGCGGGAGGCAGCAGUCGGGAAUCUUCCGCAAUGGGCGAAAGCCUGACGGAGCAACGCCGCGUGAGUGAAGAAGGUCUUCGGAGCGUAAAACUCUGUUAUUAGGGAAGAACAAAUGUGUAAGUAACUAUGCACGUCUUGACGGUACCUAAUCAGAAAGCCACGGCUAACUACGUG